GAUGAUGUAUAUACUUCUAGCACCCCGUUGGUUACCCCAAGUGGAAGGUUGAGAUGUAGUUAGCAGCAAGUUUUCCCUUACACAGAGACUUUAAGGUUUAUCGAACCAAGAGGACUCCUAUGAUCAACAAGUAGGUGUCUCAUGUCUUGGUCAGCAGAAGACAUGGACCUGCACACACAACAAAUAACUUUACUCCCAACGAGUAGAGAGAGGUUGUCAAUCUCUCCGGCCUUGUAGUUUGCAAAGGAUCAAAACACAAGCGGGAAAGUAAUAGUGAUUGCAGCAGAAAAGUAAAUAAAAACGGUAAAUGAUGGAGGUGUAAACAAUGAUGGUGAUAUGGACCGGAG
RNAcentral lists this long non-coding RNA (347 nucleotides) under Hordeum vulgare. RNAcentral's name for it is "long non-coding RNA (HVUL_LNC012540)". Lineage: Eukaryota; Viridiplantae; Streptophyta; Magnoliopsida; Poales; Poaceae. The record is from RNAcentral.